This 484-nucleotide ribosomal RNA is filed under the name uncultured bacterium. Its description in RNAcentral is "partial 16S ribosomal RNA". It matches the Rfam family "Bacterial small subunit ribosomal RNA", at positions 30 to 507 of the family's 1533-position model. The record is from RNAcentral.
AUUGAACGCUGGCGGCAGGCCUAACACAUGCAAGUCGAGCGGAUGAAGGGAGCUUGCUCCUGGAUUCAGCGGCGGACGGGUGAGUAAUGCCUAGGAAUCUGCCUGGUAGUGGGGGAUAACGUCCGGAAACGGGCGCUAAUACCGCAUACGUCCUGAGGGAGAAAGUGGGGGAUCUUCGGACCUCACGCUAUCAGAUGAGCCUAGGUCGGAUUAGCUAGUUGGUGGGGUAAAGGCCUACCAAGGCGACGAUCCGUAACUGGUCUGAGAGGAUGAUCAGUCACACUGGAACUGAGACACGGUCCGGACUCCUACGGGAGGCAGCAGUGGGGAAUAUUGGACAAUGGGCGAAAGCCUGAUCCAGCCAUGCCGCGUGUGUGAAGAAGGUCUUCGGAUUGUAAAGCACUUUAAGUUGGGAGGAGGGGCAGUAAGUUAAUACCUUGCUGUUUUGACGUUACCAACAGAAUAAGCACCGGCUAACUUCGUG